RNAcentral lists this ribosomal RNA (500 nucleotides) under uncultured bacterium. RNAcentral's name for it is "partial 16S ribosomal RNA". It matches the Rfam family "Bacterial small subunit ribosomal RNA", at positions 28 to 507 of the family's 1533-position model. The record is from RNAcentral.
GACGAACGCUGGCGGCGUGCCUAAUACAUGCAAGUCGAGCGGACUGAUUAAGAGCUUGCUCUUAUGACGUUGGCGGCGGACGGGUGAGUAACACGUGGGCAACCUGCCCUGUAGAUCGGGAUAACACCGAGAAAUCGGUGCUAAUACCGGGUAAUAUCUGAGAUCACAUGAUCUUAGGUUAAAAGAUGGCUCCGGCUAUCACUACAGGAUGGGCCCGCGGCGCAUUAGCUAGUUGGUAAGGUAAUGGCUUACCAAGGCGACGAUGCGUAGCCGACCUGAGAGGGUGAUCGGCCACACUGGGACUGAGACACGGCCCAGACUCCUACGGGAGGCAGCAGUAGGGAAUCUUCCGCAAUGGACGAAAGUCUGACGGAGCAACGCCGCGUGAGUGAUGAAGGGUUUCGGCUCGUAAAGCUCUGUUGUUAGGGAAGAAACAGUACCGAACGAACUAGGUCGGUACCUUGACGGUACCUAACCAGAAAGCCACGGCUAACUACGUG